GGAGGAUCCAAGCUCUCAAUUUAACAAGGCCUAAGCCCUUAACACAAAUAGAGAAAAUUAAACUUAGGUAAAAGCCCAACCUAGAGAAAUCUAGGGUAGCAGAAGGAGUCGAUUAAGAAGACUCGAUCCAAUAAUGUAACACCUCCAACCAAACAACCAUCACCACUGCAAUCAAUCUCCACCUUAGGGAUCCUUCAAAACAGAGGAG
RNAcentral lists this unclassified non-coding RNA (208 nucleotides) under Hevea brasiliensis (rubber tree). The record is from RNAcentral. Lineage: Eukaryota; Viridiplantae; Streptophyta; Magnoliopsida; Malpighiales; Euphorbiaceae.